GGCUCCAAUAAUCACAUGGUCUCAACACCUUCCUUAUAGGUGAGCCGAGCAUCUAAUGCAUCUCCAGUUGUUCCUGGAAUAGCAAAAACAAACAAAAUGGUGCCCAAAUUCAUUGGGACCAAAGAGUUAGAAAACCAGCAAUACAUAGGACAAACUCCACAUACAUAUGUGCAUAUAGAUAUGAAUUUGAAUUUCAUGCACACUUUAGCCAAUUUAUGACAAGGUGGGGUUUCCCCUAUAUAUUGGGUCAAAGAAGGAAAGCAAGCAAAAUAAGUUGUAUAUAGUAGAUAUGAAUGCUCAAGACUCUCAAGAAUGAACUCAACACAAAGUUGAUAAGUCACCAAAAGACAAGGUAUCAAGUGAUAAUAAGAUCUUAAACAAAAAAAAGGAACUAUCACUUGAAGGAUAUUAAUUAAAAGAUACCUCAAGGAAUGAGAUAUCCAUUGACACAUGCCAAAUAAAAGGAAACAAGAAAUCAAUUGAAGGAAAACAAACACGAGGUAUCUAAUUUCCAAAAGAGAGCUAGGUUCCAACAAACCAAGCCCUCGACAAAUUUUCAUGAUGGCACAAAGCAUUAUAAAGUGCAAGACUUGCCUCCCAUCAACACACACUUGAUGGGGAUCAAAAUAUUUUAUGAUGGGUGAAUAAAGAGAGUGUUCUAAAGAAAAUAGGAUAGCUCCCCCAAGGGACGUGCAUUAUAUAGAAUUUGCAUUUAAAUACAAAAAUGCACACGAUGGGAUCAUCAUGUUCUCUAUAUAUAUAAAAACACUAGACAUGUUAAAAUAGAUCCAUAAGAGGCAAGGAAGACAAACGAAACACAAAAUCCAAUGUAAAGACGAUUAGCAAUUCCUAUCACAUGAUGGGAAUACCAAUUGUCAAGGGCAAAAAGUAUUUUGGAAGUGAUACUCAUUGGUAGAUCGCAAAUAUAUCCAAGAUCAUCUUUACCCAUAAAACGCAAGCAAAUGACACUUGUAGAGCUAACAUGCCACCUAGGAACAAGAUAAUUUACAAUAUCAACACUAAGUGGCAACACCUCAAAUGUACACAUUUUCUAGGUUUGUAAUAUGCACAUAGCAUAUUACUCCCCCAUAAUGUGAUAAACCAACAAUAUUAACAAGUGGCAAAUUGAAACCAACAAGAGAUAAUUAAUGGACCAUAUAGAAUUUGAAUUUCUCAUGAGUAAGACAUACCACAUAGAAACUAGAUAAUCUUGAAAUAUCAAAACUAAGUGGUAUUCCCCAUGUAUACACAUUUAUAGGAUUGUGAGGUGUGCAAAGCACAUCACUCCCCCACAAUGAGAUAAUCCAUUAGUCUCUCACAAGAGCCAACAAAAAUACAAACAGGAUGCAAAAGGCUCAAUACAAGACCCACAUGUACAUGAUAUGCAAACCAACAUACACAUACUCGAUUACUCAAGAUAAGCAAGUUGGAAGCACAACAUAUACAAACGUAUGCAAGGUACAAAACCACAACAUGCAAAGGGGCAAGCACCUAAACAAUGUAAACAGUUGAAGUACAAGUUACCGUAAGGAGGCACAUUGGAUAUAAGAUAGAAACUCGAUAAUCCAACUGACUUAGCUUGAGAUGAUAUGAAUGAUGAAUACCCCUUAAUUCUUCAUUAUGUAUCCAAGUCUCUAAUGUCCUCCAUAGUCACCUAUUGAUCAAGUUUGAGCUUGUUCGUCCCCAACUACGUUGGGUCCUAAGAGGUUAAUCACAAUAGGCUUGGCAACCCAAAUGGUUCUUUUCUUGACACCAUUUUGAGUACCAACAAACUAGGCAAACACAUUACCAACCUUAUCCUUCCCAAGGGAAUAGAUAUCAUCAAUAGUGAUUGGGUUGGAUAAGUUACCUCUUGUGCAAGACGAAGCGACGUGACCCUUCUCACGACAUAAGUAGCAACAUCUACCCUUUGCUUUCUUCCCAGUUGAUUUCUCACCUCGGGGAGUGUUGGCUUGGGUCUUAUUGGGAAGAGGCCUACCUUCAACUUGUAGCUGAAUAUGUGAUUGAGUUUGUGGCCGCUUCCCUUGUUGCUUGUGACUUUGAGACUUCGUCUUCAGAGGGCAAGAUCUAACAUGGUGCCCUUUAACUUUGCACUUGAAGCAAAUGAUUUUGGCCGAACUCUUGACUUGUUCUAGGCCCCUCUUGUUCUUGUUUGAGUUUACUCCAACAUCAUUUUUGUCAUUCGGAGAUGUUUGCUCACACAUGACGUUGUUGAGUGUGGACAUCCCUUCAUGACACUGUUCCAAGUCUUUCUUCAAAGAAGUGACUUGGGCCUUGAGCUCUUCGAUUUCCUCUCACGGUUAGUAUGAAUGCAAUUACUAGAGGAAGUGUAAGCUUCAAUGUUAGAGCAACAAGGCAAGGAAAGUAAUUCAUCACACGAGGUAGCAACAUUAUGAGUAGACGAAUUACGAGGACUAGCACAUGGAAAUAUAGUACUUUGACUAGAAGUAGUUCCAUUGUCCACAUGAGGCUCACUUGAUGUUACCUUGGUGAUGAUAGCCUCAUGAGCUAACUUUUGCACAUUAUGGGAUGUUAGAAGAUCGGCAUGAGAGCUUGUGAGCAUUACAUGGUUUUCUUCCAACUUCCCACAAUUGCUAGUUAGUAAAUCAAGUUGAGCACGUAGCUCAACAUUCUCCUUCAAUGUUGAUACUUCAAAAGAGAUAGGGUUAGGUGUACAAGUAUCAUCAACAAUAUGAGAGGAGUAAGUAGCGAUUAGAGACUUAUCAUGAGUAGAUUGAAGCUCCUCAUAGAUCUUAGAGGUUUUGACGAGCUCUCCCUUGACAUUCUUGCAUUCAAGGAGAAGGACCUCAAAAUCCCUUUUAAGUUUAUCAUGAGUAACUUCAAUCUCUCCUUUUGAAGAUCUUAAGUCUCUACAUGCUUGAUGACUCUUCUCAAGUUCAUGUUCAAGUUGUUCACUUUUAGCUUGUUCAUGAUUAAGUGAAUCAUUACACUUUUCUAAGUAAGCAAGAACAUCUUGGAACCUUUGAAGAGCGUUAUUUUUAGCUUUAUGAAGAAUUUUACUGAUCACAUAUAUAUUUUCAGUCAAGGCAUCAUCAUCAUCCUCAUUGCAAAUAUCAUCGUUAUUGCACAGGGAAGAUGAUACCUCAUUAUUACCUCUUGCCAUGAGGCACAUGUGAACUGGAGGAGUUGAUGAUGAUUCUUUUGGUGAAUCAGAUUCUUCAUUAGUCAAAAGUACUUCAUAUUUCUUGAUUUCCCCUAAAUGAUUAGUCAUAGAACAACUAGGGAGAAACAAGAUAUUUUGAUCAAGAGGACACGGGAGAGCAGGCAUAUCACCACAGACAUUUGUCGAGGGAUCUUUAGGUGAAAUGCAUGACCUAUCAGCACAAUAAUUUACACUAUGUGUGGUGCUAGAUAUGCUCAUGUCCAUAGAGGCUAUGCCAUUUUCAUCAACAUAUAUUUCUUCACUCACCAUGUCAUUACCUUGUGAGAUUGAAGAUGCUGAGGUGUGCAAGCAAUCGGAUAUGGAAGUAGUGGUGGACUCUUUAUGACCGAAAAGAGUGAAGAGCUCAUGCACCAUCUCCUUCAUCAUAAUAUCUUCUUCAUCAAGAUUGGACCCUCCAUAUAUAUCUUCAAGUUUAGUCCAAACUUCAUGAGCUGACUUGCAAGUCGAGAUAGACUUAAACACUUCAGGACUUAUGGUUCGAUGAAUGGCAAGAAAAGCCUCACAAUCAAGAUACAUUUCAUUAGUAGAUGAAGAUGCAUCAUCCUUUUUGUCGGCAAUCCCUACAAGAACAAUUCGUAAAGUAUUUGGGCCCAUGGCCCGAAAGUGAUGAAGCAUACGGAUUCUCCAUAGGGUAUAAUUUGUGCCAUCAAAGUCAAAGGUGUCAUUGUGCACUAAUCCAAUAGUCGACAUCAAUACUCUCUAGGUCGUGAAACCUAAUUAAAGAGAGAUCUUGCUCUGAUACCAAUUGAAAAGACCUCGAUGACGCCUAGAGGGGGGGGGUGAAUAGGCUAUUUAAAAACUUCUUCGGAUUUGGCUUGAACCUAAUGCGAAAAAUAAACUAAGAGGGUACUUGUCAAGCACAAAUCCUAAAUGUACUAGGCACUGCAACUUGUAUCAACAACACGAUCUACCAAGAUGGACACAAUACAGUUACUAACAAGCACAAGUAAGUUACACAAACUUACUUGAGCUAUGUCACACGACAAGUAGGUGAACGACACAAGAUACUAGAUCACACUAUAUCACACGAUAUAUCAAAAGCUGCAAGUGUGAACGUGUGGAUAUAGAGGGUAUGCUUGAAUGAUUAAUCUUGUACAAGAAAUAGCCAACACAAUAUAAUGAGCACAACCAAUAUGCAAUGUAUGUAUGGUCAAGUAACACAAGUAAACCACAAGUAAGGAGUUAGGGUUAAGGAUAACCAAGGUCACUGAGACGAAGAUGUAUCCCGAUGUUCACUUCCUUGGAGGUAAGCUAGUCACCGUUAGAGAGGUGGAUGUUACCACGAAGGCACACCAACGCCACGAAGGCUCACCCUAUUCUCCCUUUGAGAUAACACCACGAAGGCGUUUCUCAACCACUAGUGGUAAGCCUUUGAGGUGGCCUCCAAACCCUCACAAACUUUUCCGGGGGUAAUCACACGAAUUGAUUCCUCUCCGAAGAACUCCUACCGCCUAGGAGUCUCCAACCUCCAAGAGUAAGAAGAUCACGGGGAAUUCUCAAAACUUGCUCAAAUCUCAAAUAGCUUGGGUUAAGAGGAGGAGAGGGAGACGAUCUAUCUUUUGAUUGGAACAACUCUCAAAGGGGCUCACAAAUGCUCUUGGGAUCUAAGAUUUGGUGUGAGCAAAUGUGUGUGAGGUAGAAAUGUGUUCUUAUGAGGAUAAGGCUGUGUUGGGCACCCUCCCACGAAGUGGGAGGGGGUAUUAUAGUGGGGAGAGAAAAACAGCCGUUGGGGACACUUUAAGUCACAGAGGGGUCGGACAUCCGGCAGUUCACGGAUGUCCGGGCGUCCACAAGGGGUCGGACGUCCGACAGCGGUCGGACGUCCGAGGGCUGUAAAUAUAUCUGGAACCACUGUGGAGUUGAACAGGGACCGGACGUCCGGAGAAGGCCGAAAGUCCGAGUUAUUCGACUCAAACUUCUCUGGUGCAAGAUUCCGGAUUUCCGAAAGGGGACGGACGUCCGGCCCUCGGACGCCCGGAGGGAGCCGGAAGUCCGAGUUAUAUGUCUCAAGUUUCUCUGGUGCAAAGCUGCGGAUUUCCGAAGCUGGUCGGACGUCCGGCCCUCGGACGUCCGGAAGGAGCCGGAUGUCCGAGUUAUAUGGCUCAAGUUUCUCUGGUGCAUAGUUUCGGAUUUCCGAAGCUGGUCGGACGUCCGGGCCUCGGACGUUUGGAGGAGGCCGGAUGUCCGGGCCUCGGACGUCCCGAGGAGGCAGGAUGUGCGAGGCACUCGUCCUGUUUUCUGAUAACAGCAGAGCAUCGGAGAUGUGGUAAGAGCAGAACAGUGGAUAUCUAGUUUGAGCAAGUUCAUCACAAAACCUGUGAUCCCCUCUUAAUAGUGCAGGAUCCCUAAAGACUCAAGAAUUAUAAACGGGGUACCGAUGAUCCAUACUUGAGUGUAUACUUUUAUUCCCUGAUCAUCACUCCGCACCACUAACGUCAAAGGAACUGAUACCUUUGAGUUAGCCCUUUCACUUGAGCUUGAUGUUGUUGUUCCUUCUUGUCUCAAGUUGAAAACAAGACAUGAUGAAGUCUUCAAGCAGCUCUCCCAUCACUACAAGGAAUAUGCUAAUACACGACGCUAUUUUUUCGUCGCUACAUCGUCACGGUUUUUAAUUUACGGUGAUCUCACGACGAAAAACCAAGCGUCGAAAACGGAGCGUCAGAAAUGAACAGCAACGACGUUUUGAACAAAAUCGUCGUAACUUUUACGACGAUUCUUGGAUUGUCGUAACCUUUACGACGAUCCUAAAUCAUCGUUGGCAAUCAAACCCAGUCCUACGUGGCAAAAUUACGAUGAAAUCAAAACGUCAUGGUUGAAAUCAGCCCAACCCAUUUCAAUUGAUCAGAUGGGCUGAUUUUAUUAUUUUAGGCUUUUUUAUUGGGCUUCUUUUUGGGCCUUAGCCUAUUUAUAGCCACUUUGAAUUUUAUUUUUUUCGAAUUUUAGUUUAUGGCCUUUUACUUUCUAUUGAUUUUUUUGGCCAUUUUAUUUUUGUACUGGUCCAACAUGUCAUGGUGAUCUCAAAGUUUUGGCAAAUUUUGGGCCUCGAGAUUUUUACAUUUUGAUCUGUAGCAUUAUGAAGGCACAAAUAUAUCUGAUCCAAUACAGGUGAGAGCACAAACUUAGAAUCAACCUAAAUUUAAUACUAAUAUAUUGUCUUUGACCAUUUUCAAUCCAAGAAUGAAUUUCAAAUAUAACUAAGAACACAUAAAAUUGAUCAAAUAUAUGACUAAAUAAAUCUAUUACAAUCUUUACAACACAGAUGUGCUACAAUAUGCUACUCUAAACCGAGUAAAACUUCACAGCUUCACAGAUGUGCUACAAUAUGCCACGGAAUCGGUCGAUGUACGGGUUCACGGUCCGCCCGAUCUUCGCCCACGCGCUCUGGUGGUAGCUGGAUGUCACAGGCGCGCGGUACAUCAUCUUCAGCACCUGAAUAAUAACAGACGAGCAAGCCAGGAAAAACGACCAGUAAGUGAAGAUGCAUUGGAAAAGCAACUAUCCGCAUAACAAAGUUGCAGGUGCUAAAGGAAGUGCCGCUAGCUGAAGAUUGAUGGUUGUUAGGUUGUUAGGUGUACACUCAGCAAUGGCUUGAAACAUGCCACAAAACACAUCAAAUUGUGCCUCAUGUUAUUCCCCAGCUAUGUAGUGAAUGCAUGGAAGCAGUAAGAACAUAUAUAAAGAUCAGAUGUGCAGAAGAUAACUUACGUUCCAGUACAUGAAUGUCUGCAUGAAGUUGCGCCGCCACCUGCAAGAUAACAAGGUGUUGUAAGUCAUAAGAUGCAUUAACUAAGAUGAAAUAAAGUCUCCAUGAUUCCAAGGGAAAUCAGAUCAACAUACAAGAACAGCGAUAUGAUCAGAAGAAACCCCAAGGCAAGUUCGGCAUUUGAGCUAAGAAGGCUGAGCGUGGUGUUGUUUGUCUCCACCCAAAGGCAAGGCUCUUCCAAGUAUCCCCUAAACAACAUAACAGAAAUUCAGAGAUAAUUCGACAGAUAACUACAGGGCAGUGGAGACUGGUUGCGCCGCAAACUACACAAAUGAAUUUCAGAGAUAGUUCGACAGAUAACUACCUAUAGAAAGACGAGCGAGAAAAGUUACGCCUUAGGAAUCUGGCAACAUGAUAAAGCGCCCAACAGAACACAGGUAGGGCAGCAACUGUGAAAUAAAAAAAGAAGAUCAAAACUUCUAAAACAUAUAUAUGGAAGUUUCAGAAAACAGAUAUCAGAAUCAUGAACUUGCAAGAGAAAAGCUAUAUAUUACUCUUUAAGUGCAGCUGAGAUGUGACGAGCAACAGAGAGAACAUUAAAUGGAUAAAAUCCUUGGCUCCAAGUACUGACUGCAACCAACUCUGAAUUGCAGGCAUGUUCAAUUCUCUUGGUUUCUUCAUGCACAACAGGAAAAAAGGUGAAUUAGAUCAACUGGGUCAUCAGGGCGAGAAACACAACAAAAAUAGGAUGGACCAUUCAAGGUUCAGGUAGGAAGGUAUUUUACCCCAUAAGUACUGUAUAAAGAGUAUCCUGAGGAGAGGACUGUUCCCAGCAAUGAAAGCUUGCAAGCUCUGUCUGCAAGAUGUUUUGGCAAGAUCGGAAGCAUUCCCAGACCAACAACAACCAGUACCUGAUCAGAUGGAAAAGUUUGAGCAUGUCAUGUUCAACUACAGUGCACCAACAAGCAAGAGAUAAAGGUAAGAACAAGGGUAACAUGCACAAGUGAUGUAAGGAAACCAUUGUGAUAGCAUUUAUAUAUAAGAGAUGAUUUUCCAAUGCAGAAUGAAGGUGUUGAUAAGGAGAAGACUAAAAAGGGAGAUGCCAUGUCAGGUUGUCUGCAAGGAUCGCCGUAAUUGUAGGAGCAAACUAGGUUGUCCACAAGGACCGUCGUAAUUGUAGGAGCAAACUAGGCUGUCCACAAGGACCGCCGUAAUUGUAGGAGCAAACUAGGCUGUCCACAAGGACCGCCGUAAUUGUAGGAGCAAUCAGAACCAAUGAAUUUGCUCCUUUCAGCAAAUAUUACACAAUUAUGCAUUCAUACAGUGAAGAGAAAGGUGUCUUCUUCCUUACCCAGGCAUUUACAGAGAAAUGUAUAGUCCGUGCAUCGAAACGUAAAGGAUUUGCAGCCCCGGCUUGUGGUGCUGCUGGUGGCGGGGCAGCUGAUCUGGAACUAGAACCUACACACAUGAUAUUGAUAUGUAUGAACUCAGGUGUCAAACACAGUCCAUGAAAUCGUUGGAUCUUAUAUGGCUAGUAAAAGUGCAGUAUGUUUUACCUGAAUUGCGAGCCCUGACAUUCUCACUGGAUGCUGAAGGUGAAGACCUUAUGCCUGGCCUGCUCGGCUGAGUGCAACCAGUGGUUGACAUAGGCUCGACCACCAAAUCACGAUCCUAUCAAGUCAAGAAAGCACACCAAACAGAUUUAGAUAUUAUGAUGCUUUGCAGGAUUGUAAAGACUGUUGCUAGUAUUUCCGUGACGGCAACAUGAGAGUUCUAACUGUAUAUUGUGCCUGAAAUUUCCCCAUCAUUUUGGAAGGUGGGGAUCCAGAAUUUUUCACAGAUACUGUAUGAACGCCUAUUCAGAAUAUUUGGUAGUACUGGAUUUUUAAUGUUACUGAUAAACUUGGUGAAAUUUGUAAUCUGUCAGUAUGAAUUCAACUCAGUAUGAAUUCCUAUUCAUGAACCUUAAAACAAUGAGAUAAGAGUACCUGACUUCCCUUUGAAUGUUAGAGUAUUUGUGGUGGUGGCGUGAGGCUGGGUGCUAGUCCAGACAGUUUCAGGAUUCAGCCUCAGCAAAAUGCAAUGUUUUAAAAGAUACAUUACAUAGUGAAGCAUUCUCUCACAGCAAUAAGAUUCAUUAAUCUCUUCUUUUUAUAUGAUCGGUCCAUGUUAGUAGAUACGGCCAAAAUUUUAUUCUAAUAAUGUUUAGACCAUACCAGAAGCCCAUUUGUUCGGUUGUAACCUGAGUGUGUUUUAGCACGAAUAGGAUGAUGUGUAGAAGACUCACGGGUAUUAGAUCAAAGGUGACCACCUCAGGUUGUGAAUUAUGGCUAACAAUAAACUGAAAAUAAAAGCAUACAAAUAUGAAUGUAGACAGCAAUAACCUCUGAUAGAAAGUUGGACAACACUUACCCAUGCGUAAUAGAAAAACCUCUAUUAAGACAUUGUCCACUCAUUACUGUAAACAUCUAUCAGGCCAUUGUGUGACUCAUUACUGUAAACGGUCGAUUGAUGUACUGAAUUAGCUCAUCAAAAGCAACAUGACAACAAUGGAAAUAUUGUAUCAAUUCACAAGUUCACAUAUGAACACCAAGUGAAACAGAAAUGAGUGAGUGAUGGGAUCAAAUUCACUUGGCUGAACAGAUGUACUAGAGAUGGAGAACAAUUGUUUACCCAGUACACCCCAAAUACGGGCCUCCUUCAUGCAGCAAAAGCCCCUGAUCCUUUUUUCCAAGCAGUAAGGCCACAACUGACAGUAGCGACACACAGAACGACCCGCGAAAGGCAAAGAAAGAGAGCGAAGCAGCCUAGCAAGAUUUGAGGACAACGAGGUAGCUGUUGCCGAUCCCGGCCCCCACGCGGCCGACGAUGUGGAGACGGCCGUCGGAGGCCUCGAAGACGUCGCGGCCGACAUUGGUGCCCGACCGCACGACGAGCGCGAAACCCAACUUCUCGGCCACGAGUGCCAUGGGUUUGCCCUCGACAGCCACCGCAUCGGAAGCGGGCGCGGACAAACAAGUAUGGCUCUAUUGAACAGAGCAGGGUAAUGAGUGCAACUGAUAAUGAUUGGAUAAAGAAGUUUCAACUACCUAAUAGGUUUGUACACCAAACUUGACACGGGCACAACUCACCCUGAAGUUGACAAGGUUACCGCAAUAUGGUUUUUGAUGAAGCUCAAACAUUUCACGUCAAUGAUGUUAGUAUUAUGUCAGAGCAAGAUUUUAUAUAUACUUAAACUUGUUUCUAGUUUAUCUUCAAGAUCACAGUUGGCGACUUGAUUUCGCACAAGGAGCAUGGGAAAUUAUUUUCAAGAANNNNNNNNNNNNNNNNNNNNNNNNNNNNNNNNNNNNNNNNNNNNNNNNNNNNNNNNNNNNNNNNNNNNNNNNNNNNNNNNNNNNNNNNNNNNNNNNNNNNUCACUAUAGGGCGAAUUCAUCAUGUCUUGCUUUCAACUUGAGGCAAGAAGGAACAACAACAUCAAGCUCAAGUGAAAGGGUUAACUCAAAGGUAUCAGUUCCUUUGACGUUAGUGGUGCGGAGUGAUGAUCAGCGAAUAAAAGUAUACACUCAAGUAUGGAUCAUCGGUACCCCUUUUAUAAUUCUUGAGUCUUUAGGGAUCCUGCACUAUUAAGAGGGGAUCACAGGUUUUGUGAUGAACUUUCUCAAACUAGAUAUCCACUGUUCUGCUCUUACCACAUCUCCGCUGCUCUGCUGUUAUCAGAAAACAGGACCAGUGCCUCGCACAUCCUGCCUCCUCGGGACAUCCGAGGCCCGGACGUCCGAGGGCCGGACGUCCGACCAGCUUCGGAAAUCCGGAACUAUGCACCAGAGAAACUUGAGCCAUAUAACUCGGACAUCCGGCUCCCUCCGGACGUCCGAGGGCCGGACGUCCGACCAGCUUCGGAAAUCUGGAGCUUUGCACCAGAGAAACUUGAGCCAUAUAACUCGGACUUCCGGCUCCCUCCGGACGCCCGAGGGCCGGACGUCCGUCCCCUUUCGGAAAUCCGGAAUCUUGCACCAGAGAAGUUUGAGUCGAAUAACUCGGACUUUCGGCCUUCUCCGGACGUCCGGUCCCUGUUCAACUCCACAGUGGUUCCAGAUAUAUUUACAGCCCUCGGACGUCCGACCCCUUGUGGACGCCCGGACAUCCGUGAACUGCCGGAUGUCCGACCCCUGUGUGACUUAAAGUGUCCCCAACGGUCGUUUUUCUCUCCCACUAUAAAUACCCCCCUCCCACUUCGUGGGAGGGUGCCCAAGAUGCGACCCUAUCCUCAAUUUGGCACGAGGGCCUCGUCAGGGAUAGAAGCGCAUCUCGUCGUGUCGCAAGAAUGGAUAUCGUUACAAGUACAUGUACUGAAAAGAAGAGAUAUAUAGAAUUGGCUUACACUCGCCACAAGCUACAUCAGAGUCACAUCAGUACAUUACAUAAUCAUCACGAGUAAGAGGAGGGUCCGACUACGGACGAAAACAAACGACAAAAGAAGAACGACGUCCAUCCUUGCUAUCCCACGCUGCCGCCUGGAACCCAUCCUAGAUCCCAAGAAGAAGAAGCAACUCCAAAUGAACAAUCAACGUGCUCGCGUCAAGUAACCUUUACCUGUACCUGCAACUGGUGUUGUAGUAAUCUGUGAGCCACAGGGGACUCAGCAAUCUCAUUUCCAAAGGUAUCAAGACUAGCAAAGCUUAAUGGGGAGGUAUGGUUAAGUGGUGAGGUUGCAGCAGCGACUAAGCAUAUAUUUGGUGGCUAAUCUUACGAGUACCAGAAAUAAGAGGGGGAAGAUCUACGCUUAGCAGACGUGUCUACUGAUGAUCAAAAGAUGAUCCUGAACACCUACCUACGUCAGACAAAACCCCACCGUGUCCUCGAUCGGAGAAGGAACUCACGAAAGAGACAGUCACGGUUACGCACACAGUUGGCAAGUUUUAAUUAAAUUAACUUCAAGUUAUCUAGAACCAGUGUUAAACAAAGUUUCCACGUUGCCACAUAACCGCGGGCACGGCUUUCCGAAAGAUUUAACCGUGCAGGGGUGCUCCAACUAGUCCAUCACAAAUUACCACAAGCCGCAUAGAAAUCCUCAAUCACGAAGCUCGCGAUCUCGUCGAAUUCCCUAGUGGAAAACCUCAACUCUGAGAUUACCCAAAGCAUCACCGGAAUCCCGAUGCACAAGAUAUCUCGUCAAAGGUAAAACUAAUCCAGCAAGGCCACCCGAUGUGUCGACGAACCCGAUAGGAGCCGCGUAUCUCGUUCUCAGGACACACCGUCUAUGCAAAGUGGACGGGAACCAAACCUCGAGUUGCCCCGUGGUGGCACCGCCGACUGCUAGGUGGGUGGACCAACACUCAUGAGGAGAACUGGCCCGGGGGUUGAUUAAUUUAGUCCGCGGGUGCCGGCGGGUCCCUAUGCAUUAUUAUUAGGUGAUUAGGCAAAUGUAGUAUCAAUGUUGGGCCUUGCCAGACCAGCUUUAAUCUAAAACGAAUUAUCAAGGGGGUCCCCAUAACAACCCCGAUCGUGUUAGGAGCGCUCGAUUAUGGAACAUAACACCGGUAGCCGGUAACUAAAGGGGGCAAAGGUGGAACAAAACACCAGGCAAGAAAGGCCGAGCCUUCCACCUUUUACCAAGUAUAUAGGUGCAUUAAAUUAAAUAGAAUUUAAAUAUGGUGAUAUAACAAGGAACCCAUGUUUUCACAUGGAAGCAACUGCACCUGCAACUAGCAACGCUAACACAGGGUUAAGCAAGCAGUAACAUAGCCAAUCAGUGAUUUGCUAGGUCGAACAGGUUGAAGGUAAUCAUGGCAUUGUUGAGAGGCUGAUAUUUAACAUGUGGUAGGCAACGAGACAUAAAUGAUAGCAACGGUAAACUAGCAUGACAAUGAUAGUAAUGGUAUCUGGGGAAAUGAUCAUCUUGCCUGAGAUCCCGCUUGGAAGAAGAAUGCCUCCGUGAAGUAGACGAACCGACGUAGUCGAACGGGUCCUCACAAUCCGGCAUGCUGCGGAACUGUAUCGAGACGAAGCAAACCGGAAACACAAAUCAACACACGAAAUUCACCACACGAUGCACACCACAUAUGAUGCAUGAGCUACUGAAUACAUGCAAGUCACGGCAUGACAAAUCACACAAUCAAACACUACACAUUAAGUGAAGCUCAAUAUGCACGAGUUGCCUAUUAACGAAACUCCACGUUAAUUAUUUAGUUCACUCCCGGUUAUUUACACGGCAAUAUUAAUGUUGUCAAACAUGCAAGAGGUGAAGCGGAAAUUAACCUACCUAUCUAGACAUUUUAAAUGAGGUCGGAGAUGACAUAUAGCACCUCCGAAAUGACCUCACAUGGUAAUUUUCAAUUCUGUCCAGAUCUGAUUUAACACCUUUAAUUAGUUGUUAAACAGAAAAACAAAUAGUUUCACGUGAUUCUACGCGUCAAGGCAAGAAAUCUACACAUAAAGAACAUCUCCAACGGAGCUACGGUUCAAAAGAUACAAGCACCGCAAGAUAUGAUGGCAUGAAUGCAAAAUGUGUGCAACGACGGUCACGAGUACUUCAAAACAUACAAACAGCAAGAGAACAUGAAACUACACGAGAUUCUAAGCAAGUUUCAUGUAGGACACGAUCGAAUCGGAGCUACGGUUCAAAACCUACGAGCAGUACUAGAAAUCACUACAAGCUGCCAAAAUCAGCCACAUAGCACUUUCUACGCCCCACAACUACGAGCUACACAACUCCGAUAAACGCAAGCAAGGCAUGGCACGAAAGAGGGCAAGACGCUCUACUACAAACAACUAACAACAACGAGUAUGGCAGCAAGGAGCACUAGGAAAAGAAGACACCAAAUGGCAUCUCACACACCAUUUCAGACUUAGUGAAAAUUACACCUCAUGAAAGUGCAGUUUUCGAUCUGAAGCAAUAUUGACAGCAGCAAAACCUAUAGCUACAUGACUCCAAAUAGCAUGAAACUUCACAGCAUGUUAGAGAAACACAAGGGGUACAACUAACUCCAUUGGACCAGCCUCAAAAGAGCUACAGAUCACAAGAUGCAAGAAAGACAAGACAGCAACAAAUUAUAACAGAUUCCAGACUUAGAAAUAUUUCAGCUCCUCCAAAUCAGCACUAUUUCUAGCAACUUGAGAGCAAGCAAACAACACCUAAACAUGCAUUUCUAUUGCAACCAAAAAUACCAGGGGCUAAACAAAACAUCCAAGAUCAACUCUCCAGUUGACAACUCCGUCAAACGACGCACGGAAUAAAUCCUACAAUUAAACAAAAGAGCAACAUAGCAAAAUAUCUCGCGAACUAACUUCCUCAAAAGCUAAAACUAAUUGCACAGAAAAAUCCAUGGGAUUUUUCUACCCCGGAAACAUAUAAAAUAUGUGGGGUUUGCAACACAAAAUAAUGCCACACAUUAAUGCGAGAAAAAAUUACCUAUAUACGGGAAAAUAAUCUACCGGCAAUCCAUACACGCAAAAAUACAAAUGACUGGUCUAAAAUACAUGGAUAAAUAGUCCCUAAAACAUAGGCAUUUUAUCUAAGGCACUCGAGCAACCCGGUCUUGCACGAAAAAUAAAUACGAGUCGAAACCUAUUAGGACAGCACGCUUAUCUAGGCAACCAGCACGCUAAACGACGUCAAAUAAUUAUGCAUGUUUCAAAAUCAUAUUCUACGCGUGAAACUACCACAAAACCAUAUAUAAUACGCGUCGUUCCGACUUACGGAUAAAAAGUUACGGGGUUUUUAUUAAACGUCUAAUUCCUGAAAUUAACUAAACCGAAGAAAAAAUCCCUAAGGAAAAAAAUAAACUACCAGGCCGAAUCAUGUGGCGCAUUUUAGCUAAGGCAUGCGCGGGCGUAAAACAGAGGGGUCUGGAGGUUUUCUCACCUCGGGCUCAAGGCCUGCGGGAGGGGAGGCAGCCCAGGGCGAAGUGGGCCUCGGGAGGCGGUGCGCAUGCUGGGCCUCGCGUGGCCAGGCCGGCCCACGGGGCGAGGAGGCAGCAUCUCCCAUCUCUCUGCUCGUUCCCGAGCAGACAGGGGCGCGGCGGCGGAAGGCAGCCACGGGAAGCCGGCGGGGAGGCCGGGACCGCCGGGACCGAUGGGUNNNNNNNNNNNNNNNNNNNNNNNNNNNNNNNNNNNNNNNNNNNNNNNNNNNNNNNNNNNNNNNNNNNNNNNNNNNNNNNNNNNNNNNNNNNNNNNNNNNNNNNNNNNNNNNNNNNNNNNNNNNNNNNNNNNNNNNNNNNNNNNNNNNNNNNNNNNNNNNNNNNNNNNNNNNNNNNNNNNNNNNNNNNNNNNNNNNNNNNNNNNNNNNNNNNNNNNNNNNNNNGUAGGGUCGCACGGAAUUCGAGGAGGGGGCUGUCUAAAUUAAGAGGGGGUCUAUAUAUAGACAAACAGGGGGGCUAGGUUAGCCGGAAUUUCGUUCUGGAUCCAACCGCGGGGUCGGAUUCGGACGAUUCCGAACGCGGGACGUGCUACGUGGCCGUGUUGUGUAGAUAUCCGGAGACGAGAGGGAGAACGGGCAGCACGGCAACGAAUUUUAAAACACCGACAAACGUCCGACAGUAGCCCAAAUACGGUGCCGCUACGGUCGACCGUUCGGGUACCAUACGGUCUCCGAUCGCGGCGGAAUUCGACAGGCGGUCUGGCUAUAUAUAAAUAAUACCGCACGACAAAUUCCAGCUCAAUCGGAGAAAGUUUUACGCACGCUUUAAAAACAGGGUUUCGACGGUGCCGCGGGCGCGUGCGAGUGCGGUCGGGCUCAGAACGGACAACGACGAUAACCGGCAACUAACAACGGAUGCAAGUUUUGAAAACGGGCAGCAAUGGAGACGCCGAUGCAAUGCAGAUGAUGCGCAUGAUGCGAUGAUGAUGCGACAAAUAAAAUAAGCCACACGACGAAAACGGAAAGAGAGGGGAAUCUUCUGGAACGUCGGCAUCGGGCUGUCACAGUUUAUUUCCGCAUUAGGUUCAAGCCAAAUCCGAAGAAGUUUUUAAAUAGCCUAUUCACCCCCCCCCCCCUCUAGGCGUCAUCGAGGUCUUUUCACCUGUCCUCGUCCGCAUGUUGAUCGCUUUGGUUUUUCCACCGCUGGUGCUGCUGUUCUUGAGCCGACUACUUAUCAUCAGGCUGUUGUUCAUCCUGAAUGACAGUUUGCGAUGGCAGAGGAGAUUGCUGCUCUUGAACGCACACGUACGUGGGAUCUUCUUUCCCUUCCUCCCGGAGUCCGUCCCAUCACUUGUAAGUGGGUCUACAAGGUUAAGACUCGCUCCGAUGGUUCUCUUGAGCGUCACAAAGCUCAUCUUGUGGCUCGUGGUUUUCAGCAGGAGCAUGGUCGUGAUUAUGACGAGACUUUUGCUCCUGUGGCUCAUAUGACCACUGUUCGUACACUUCUUGUCGUGGCCACUAUACGCCACUGGUCUAUCUCUCAGCUUCAUGUUAAGAAUGAUUUUCUUAAUGGUGAGAUGCGUGAGGAGGUGUACAUGCAGCCACCACCUAGGUAUUUUGUUCCUGAUGGCAUGGUAUGUCGUCUUCGUCGCUCUCUAUGGCCUUAAGCAAGCCCCCCCGCGCCUGGUUUGAGCGUUUUGCCUCUGUGGUUACUGCCACUGGUUUUUCAGCCAGUGCUCAUGAUCCAGCAUUGUUUAUUCACCUUUCUCCUCGUGGUCGGACUCUUCUUCUUCUCUAUGUUGAUGACAUGGUCAUCACUGGGGACGACCCCGAGUAUAUUGCCUUUGUCAAGGCCCGUCUUAGUGAGCGGUUCCUUAUGUCUGAUCUUAGACCUCUUCGCUACUUUCUUGGGAUUGAAGUCUCUUCUACCUCUGAUGCCUUUUUUAUAUCCAAGGAAAAGUAUAUCCAUGAUCUUCUUGCUCGUGCUGCUCUUACUGAUGAGCGCAUUGUCGAGACUCCUAUGGAGCUCAAUGUUCACCUCUGUGCUACUGAUGGUGAUCCCCUGCCUGACCCGACGCGUUAUCGUCAUCUUGUUGGCAGUCUUGUUUAUCUAGCUGUCACUCGUCCGGAUAUCUCUUAUCCGGUUCAUAUUCUGAGUCGGUUCAUCUCUGCUCGCACAUCGGUUCACUAUAGUCAUCUCCUCCGUGUUCUCCGAUAUCUUCGGGGCACGAUCUCUCACCGUCUAUUCUUUCCUCGCUCCAGUUCUCUACAGCUUCAGGCCUAUUCGGAUGCUACGUGGGCUAGUGAUCCUUCCGAUCGUCGUUCACUUUCUGCUUACUGUGUUUUUCUUGGUGGUUCUCUCAUUGACUGGAAGACAAAGAAAUAGAUUGCAGUUUUCUGUUUGAGUGCAGAGGUUGAGUUGCGAGUGAUGGCUCUUUUGACGGCAGAGGUGACUUGGUUACGGUGGUUACUUCAGGAUUUUGGUGUUUCUGUCACUACACCGACUCUGCUCUUAUCUGACAGUACAUGUGCUAUUAGCAUUGCGCGCGAUCCUGUGAAGCAUGAGCUUACCAAGCAUAUUGGUGUUGAUGCUUUCUAUGUGCGCGCCGGUGUGUAGGAUCAGGUUAUUGCUCUUCAGUAUGUGCCUUCCGAGUUACAGUUGGCGGAUUUCCUGACGAAGGCCCAGACUAGAGCACAACAUGGCUUUUAUCUCUCCAAACUCAGUGUUGUUCAUCUACCAUGAGUUUGAGGGGGGUGUUAGAGUUAUAAUAUAAGUCAUGUACCCUUUUGUAUUUAUCCCAAUGUAUAAGGGGUUUCCUGCAUAUAGUCCACCACCUGUACAUGUAUAUAUACCGGUCUAUGGCCUCAUGGGAAUAUAAGUUGCUUAUUCCUAACACGUAGCACCUACCAACGAGGCAUGACUCAGCGUAACACCUGUCGGCCAGGCAUGAUUUGACAGUUCCACCAAAUCUUCGGGCCAGACGAAGCCGCUCCAUCUCCUGCCUCUGUCAUCCAACGCUGCUCCACAAACGAUGCUCCCAAGAGAGAAACGACACCGCAGUACCGCCAUCGUCCGAUCUGGAAAGUCAGAUCUUAGGGUUUCCCCCGAAGCAGUGCCCACCACCAGCAAUUGUCCAGGACCCACAUAGUGCCCACCACCACUCAGCCCUCAAGGCGAUGCCUUCAGUAAGGUCACGGCGUCAAGGACGCUGCCGCCGCCCACCGGAGUUAGGGUUUUCACCCAAGAGGCAGGGAGGUAGGAAGUGGAGGAGCGACGUAGACCGACGUCUCCAGGAAGAACAACGGCGCCCUUGAGCGUCGUUGUCGGCGCGGCCCACCAGGGCCGACCAAUGGAUUUCCCCUUAUCUGAAUCUCCUCCACCAGCUUCAUCUGCGGCCAUGCCGGCAACGCCAAGAAACCACAGGAGAGAAGCACACCGCGCGUAUGUGGAUCAAUGAAGAUCCAAUCUGAACAAUGACGAGUACCAUCACCCUGCACUGGCCGACGGCGUCCGGGCGCCGGAUCCAGAAGGAUCUGACCCGAACUCGACGACGAACGCGACCACCAUGUCUUGCCCCUCCUGCAGCCGCCACACCGCGCCGCAAGAAUGAACCCCCAGCCCUCGACGCGCUCCUCACGCCGCCGCUAGGAUCCACAUGCCGCAUCGCCGCACCGCACGCUAGUCCGUCGUCUCCUCACGGACGGUCGUCCCGCGCCAGCCAUGUCGCGUGAAGGGGAGAUGAUCCCCGCCGCCGCCCGUGCCGGCCAAGCUUUGCCUGGCGGCGCUGCUGGCGGCGGCAAGGAUGAAGGAGGAGUGAGGGAGAACCGGCGGUGGCGGCUAGGGUUACCCCCUGGUCGCCCACAGGGGCGACGGGAGGUGGCGGGAGGGACUUAUGUAGUGGAGGCGCCCGUCGGCGAGGUACGACACCGGUGAGAUCCGAUCUGGAGGUACGGGGGUCUCCUGUUGUAGAGGUACAGCCAUCUACAUAUUAAUUAUUAACAAACAACAAAGGGUGUUCAAUUAUUUCUUAUGGAUUAAUUAUUGGAGCCAGCAAUUACAGUAUCAUCAUAUUAUGUAGUAGUAAAUUGACAGAAUGUUUCCGCACAUAUCUCCCCCCUAUACAUAUCAAGCAUAGCAACCAGUUUUCUUCACCAUAGUUACAGCUCACAGCUAAUUAAUCAACUUCAAUUGCUGGUAGAAAAGAGCAGCAUUAUAUUAAUAUGUAGACGCGGUGGUUUUUAUUCUCUCUUCACAGCCUCGAGUGGUCUUGGUACUGGUCCAUGAACGAGUCGUUGAACUUCUUGAAGCUCGACAUGAUUGCCGGCAUGUCCUCCUCCGCAGGCAGGAUCGUUGUCCUCAGAUGGAACACCCUGCAAAUUGUUACAUGUCACAAAGUGGAAUCUUAUUACCGAGGAUGUCCUCAGAUGGAACACCCUGCAAAUUGUUACAUGUCACAAAGUGGAAUCUUAUUACCGAGGAAUGACAAGCGGUGAUUGGUUUCAGCAGUAACAUGUAUGAUGAUGAAUUGAUGAUGAUGAUCAGAAGGGCUGGUUUCCUAUAAUGGUUCAAUCAAGAUGGGAAUGGGCUGAUGUCACCCAUUUUGACACUGGCCCGGCACAAAUUUUCAAGUCCAAUGGGUCUUCUGGGUCGGCUUCGUGUGGUAACAGGGCCGGUGGAGCCGAUCACCAUCAGCCCAUUAGAAUGAGCAGGUCGACCCAGAUUUGGUUGCCCGGGGCUGUAGUAUGCCGUUAUGAUAGAACAUAUCUUUGCUAGGGUUGUUAGGCUUGUGCUUAUAGCAAUUUUUCAAACUAUUGGUCCAAGAUUGCUUUUGUUCCAGAUGCUAAAAGCAUCUCCAACAGCCGCGCUAUACUAGCGCCGCGUCGGCAAAAAGACAGUUUUAGCGCGCGCGCAACGCGGCGGGCAGCUCCAGCGGACGCGCAAAAACGGCACACGCGGCAUUUUCAGUUCAGCGCGCUGGCCGAAACGCAAUCGCGCGCCCCUUAUUUGCCGCGCCAGCUCCCGCGCUCGCCCCUCCACUCUCGCGCGCUCGCUCCCCACUUCCACCCCCUUCUGGNNNNN
RNAcentral lists this long non-coding RNA (19826 nucleotides) under Hordeum vulgare. Its description in RNAcentral is "long non-coding RNA (HVUL_LNC004456)". The record is from RNAcentral. Lineage: Eukaryota; Viridiplantae; Streptophyta; Magnoliopsida; Poales; Poaceae.